UGCCCUAGAAUAGUCACAGAAAAAUAUUUAGUAUAAUCAGAACUGGAAAGAAUCCAGAUGUUCAUCAACAGUACAACAUCACCAUAGAUAAACAGAUUAUGUUGUAGUUCGUAUGAACACUUAAACAACAUGAGGAUGAAGCAACUAUUGAUAUAGCAGCAAUAUAGAUGAAUAAGACCAAAAAAAAUGAUUUUUUUUUUGUCUUUUUUUUUUGCUAUUUCUUGGGCCGCUCCCGCGGCAUAUGGAGGUUCCCAGGCUAGGGGUCCAUUCAGAGCUGUAGCCACCGGCCUACGCCAGAGCCACAGCAACGUGGGAUCUGAGCCGUGUCUGCGACCUACACCACAGCUCACGGCAAUGCUGGAUCGUUAACCCACUGAGCAAGGGCAGGGACCAAACCCGCAACCUCAUGGUUCCUAGUCGGAUUCAUUAACCACUGCGCCACGAUGGGAACUCCCAAAAAAUGAUUUUUAAGCCAAAGAAGCAAGACACAAAUGUCUAUGCUAAGGGAUUCUGCUUUUUUUUUAGGUAUGAAAAUGGGCAAAAUCAAUUUCUGCUAAUAGAAAUAACGAUAUGGGUUUCCUCAGGCGAAAGAUAAUGACCAGACGGUAAUACAAGGGUUUUUUUUAGUUACCAGAGUAUUGUAUUUCUUCACAUGAAUGUUAAUUUCAUGGAGGUGAUCAAUUUGUGCAAAAUUCUUCAGUUGAAAAUGCAACUUUUUAAUUUUUUGAAUGUAAUAAUCAGUAAAAGUUAAAUAUAAAUUUUACUAAACUGUAAAUCAUUCAUAUUGAUAAAAUAAAUGUUGCUUUUACUCUUUUAAUAUUGAAAUAUAGUUGAUUUAUAAUAGUGUAUUAGUUUCAGCUGUACAACACAGUGAUUCAGUAUUUGUGUGUAUUAUAUUCCACUAUAGGUUAUUACAAGAUGAUGGGUAUACUUUGUUCACUCUGAAAGAUGUACUACUCUCUAGAUUAGGGUAACUUUCAGUUGUUUUUUUUUUUUAAUAUUGAUUCUGAUUGUCCUGAACAUUAUUGCUAUGCUCUAUUUAUGGGCAAUUCACUCAGUUCUAUUACUGGAUGGUUAUCUAGUGAUAAACUGUAAAUAAAUCAUUUGUGAGUAGUAUCAUUUUGAAGUAAGAUAAUGAAAUGGCUUUAUUUGAUUCUCAUUCUAGAAAGGUAAAAGGCAUACUGAGAAAUAUUCAAUGGUAUAAUAACACAGAGGGUGUCCCUUUAGGCACUUGCUCUUAAUUCAAGUUUUCUAUUCUUAACCAUAUAAAUGCUCAUUAUUAUCACCAGCCUCAUCCUAUCUAAAUGCUAAUUGCUUGUAUUCUAUUUACUAUGAAGACAUACCAAACUCCUCAUAUAUGUUCUUAAAAUAUCGAACACCUCCCCAGUUACAUUUCUAUCAUAUUUCAUUGAACCUUCUUGAUUAACUGCUAGUCUUUCCAGCUAGAAUGUCAGUGCCACCAGGGACUACACAAUGUCCAUCUAGUUCACUGUUUCAUCACCAAUAUCUUACACAUUUAAUUACAUGUAUUAGAUACUUAUGUAAUAGUUAUAAGUGACUGAGUAAAGUAAUCCAAUGAGAAGUAUUCAAGCAGAAACAUAUCUCUGGAUUUUUCUGAAAAAUUUAUACAUUCUUCUAAAUGCCAAAAUGUGAUAAAAAGGAGUUGUUAAAAUGAGACAAUAAAAUAUAUAUAUAUUUAUAUGUAUGUAUUUAUAAUUCUCCCGUGAAAAUUAAAGUAUAACUGUAAGAACUGCUGAUUUAAAGGAACCUGUUAAUAACCAGUCAGUAGUAAGACUAAAAAACAUUGGUACACACUGAGAUUAAGGUCAACACCUUUGAGAACUGGAACAAGAGCAUGCAAGAAAGUAUUGGUCGCCAUAUAAUCAGGCAGUAUUACACGUAGCUAUUAACAUGUCAAGAUGUGUUUGUGAUCUUUUCUAUUGCUAGUGGUGAGUCAUUCUUGCAAGUUAAAUAGAUAACAGAUGAUAGAUCAGUCGACCAAUAGAUAGAUAUGGUACUUGACACAAAUCUUAGUAACAGUGUUCCAAGAAAUAAAAAAUAAGUUUAGGAUGCUAAAUAAAUACUCAACUUGGCUAUUUUGACACAAGAUUCUAUAUCUUCCUGUUACUUUACUAAAAGAUGAAUGCUAAGUUAUUCAAAAACUUCCCAUUAUUGUACACUGAUGUUUUCCAUUAUUUGAAUUUUUGCUUAGAUGACAAGUCCUAGUAAUUAUAAUUAAAAUAUUACUAAAAUAGCAAAAAAAACACUACUAAAAUUAGUACUAAAAUACUAAGUACUAGUCUUCCCUUUCUCAGAGGUUAGGGGCACCUAGUCUUGGUGCAGUUGAAAAUCUAUGAAUAACUUUAAAACAGCCGUCCAUACCCACAGUUCUGGAACCUUGGAUUUGACCAACUAUGAAUCUUGUGGCAGUGUAGUAUUUAUUAUUAAAAAUAAAUGUACAUAUAAAUGGACCCAUGUAGUUCAUCCCAUGUUGUUUAAAGAUCAGCUGUACUACAAAGUGCAGAAAAAUUCAAGAUUUCAGGAAUUCUUAAGAAGUCCUGGGAAUUCUUUUGAAGAUAUGUAUAACUGUUGUGGAUUCGGAAACUGUAAAUCCAACUUGCUACUUACCUUUAAGAUGCUUUAUCUGUUUGGAAAGAAAAUGCUAUUUAUAAAAUAUAAAUUAUCUACAUAGCCAAAUAUACUAAGUACCUCUGCCAGUAGAGAAAUCGACUGCAAAGUUAUUAGAGGUCAAUUUCAAAUGUGUGGGGGAAGAGGAUUUGGGGAUUUCAAGAUUGGGUUGCACUGAAAGAAGAAGGCAAGGAAUGAAAAGAAUAAUUUAGGCAAGAAAAAACGGAAUAAUUAAAGUAUAUACAGAAAAAUAAUUUCUGCUGCUUAAUCAUAGGGUAAUUUUUUUCUUUUUUUAAAGUAAUGAAAGUUCAUAUGAGAAUCAAAUUAGAAAAUCUUGGAAAAAUAAGUAAAAAUAGCUAGUGUUGGUACUUGAAUAAUUGUUAAAACAGUAAUACUUGAAUGUUGUCAAAUUUGGUUGGGGUUUACCCUAAAGGCUAUUGGAGUUUUGAUCAAGGUGUGGGAUAAUUCUGUAUGUAAGGGACAGAAACUGUGUAUGAAAGAAUAUAAUGUUUAUUUCAAUUAAAAAUGAAUUCCACCCAUAUUUUGAAUACAUUUAUUGAAGUACAAUCAAUGUGAUUAUUAAUAAUUAAAAACUCUUAAAAUCCCUCAACAUAGAUGAACUCUAUAUUAAAGCUUAUGCCAUUAUUUAAAAUACUGAGUAAAGAUAUCAGGUUAGAAUGAUUCAAAACCAGUGCAAAAUUUAUCUAACAUCAAAUUUACUCAUUUAUUUAUCCAUUCAUAUAUCCAUCACAUAUUUAAGAGUUCUCUGGUAUUUCCCAAAUACUAGAUGGUGUUGAGUAACUUUUGAAUUUUUUAACAGUCCUUAAAUAGAGUUCCUAAAGUGGGAGAAAGUCUAGAAAUUUUCAGAGGUAAUAUGGAGAUAGUGUGACUAGGAGUAAAUGAGAAUGGCUAGGGGCUGAUCACAUGAGAAGGGAUCUAAGAGGUAAGAGUAGGGCCAAAGGUGGAUGGGCUGCAGAUUCAGUAGGGCUCUGAAGGCCUUUGGGAGGACUAUGAUUUUUACUCUAAGUGAGAUAAGGUACCACUGGAUAGUUUGAAAGGAAAAUUGACAUGAUCUGGUUUAUGUUUUUAAAAGAUCACUCUAAGGAGUUCCCAUUGUGGUGAAAUAUAAAUGAAUCUGACUAAAAUCCAUGAGGAUGUGGGUUUGAUUUCUGGUCUCGCUCAGUGGGUUGGGGAUCUGGCAUUGGUAUGAGCUGUGGUAUAGACUGCAGAUGUCAUUCAGAUCCCAUGUUGCUGUGGCUGUGGCAUAGGCCGGCAGCUGCAGCUCCAAUUUGACCCCUAGACUGGAAACUUCCACAUGCC
Molecule: long non-coding RNA, 3948 nt
Filed under: Sus scrofa (pig)
Lineage: Eukaryota; Metazoa; Chordata; Mammalia; Artiodactyla; Suidae
Description: lncRNA (ENSSSCG00000062770.1)
Source: RNAcentral